This 634-nucleotide ribosomal RNA is filed under the name uncultured Bacteroidota bacterium. RNAcentral's name for it is "bacterial SSU rRNA". It matches the Rfam family "Bacterial small subunit ribosomal RNA", at positions 49 to 678 of the family's 1533-position model. The record is from RNAcentral. Lineage: Bacteria; Pseudomonadati; Bacteroidota.
UUAUACAUGCAGUCGAGGGGCAGCAUGGUGUAGCAUACACUGAUGGCGACCGGCAAACGGGUGCGGAACACGUACGCAACCUACCCAAAACUGGGGGAUAGCCCGGGGAAACCCGGAUUAAUACCUCGUAACAUUAUGGAGUGGCAUCACUUUAUAAUUAUAGCUCAGGCGGUUUUGGAUGGGCGUGCGGCUGAUUAGGUAGUUGGCGGGGUAACGGCCCACCAAGCCUUCGAUCAGUAACUGGUGUGAGAGCACGACCAGUCACACGGGCACUGAGACACGGGCCCGACUCCUACGGGAGGCAGCAGUAAGGAAUAUUGGUCAAUGGACGCAAGUCUGAACCAGCCAUGCCGCGUGAAGGAUGAAGGCCCUCUGGGUUGUAAACUUCUUUUAUAUGGGACGAAACCCUCGAAUUCUUUCGGGAUUGACGGUACCAUAAGAAUAAGCACCGGCUAACUCCGUGCCAGCAGCCGCGGUAAUACGGAGGGUGCAAGCGUUAUCCGGAUUCACUGGGUUUAAAGGGUGCGUAGGAGGGUANGUAAGUCAGUGGUGAAAUCUCCGAGCUUAACUUGGAAACUGCCAUUGAUACUAUCUAUCUUGAAUACCGUGGAGGUGACCGGAAUAUGUCAUGUAG